Long non-coding RNA from Bactrocera oleae (olive fruit fly), 2552 nucleotides. RefSeq lists it as uncharacterized. NCBI's taxonomy places the organism in Eukaryota, Metazoa, Arthropoda, Insecta, Diptera, Tephritidae. The record is from RefSeq and is a predicted model, not a curated record.
CCAGCUUAACUGCAGACCAAAAACGGAAACGAAAUUGCUGUCUAACAAUCUAACAAACAUCCUGUUACGUGGUCAAAGAAGUCAACUAUUUAUAUUCCAGUCCAGUAAAUGGAUUUAUGUAAUUUUCCUGGAUUAUGUUAUUUAAGGGGUUGUAACCAGGCUCGACCAUGGGGGAGAAGGGUUGCUGGUGAUUCCCUCCGGUCCCGGAGUUCUCGAAGGGACACGUAUUUUUAAAAAAAUUGAGUGAAUAGUAAAAAGUCAGAAUGCUAUUGAUAGAUUGUCACGAAAAACCCGGCUAAGCUUUGUCGCUUUAAUUUGCAAAACAUUGGAAUGUUACAACAUAACCUGUGGAAGAUUGGGGUGGACAUAGCUACGAUAAUUGUAGUAACAUGAACGCUAAAUUUGAAGGAGCGCAAAAUCACAUCCAACGUAAAAGUAAAUAUGCAGUUCUUUCGCAAUGUGGUGCCUACACGCUGAAUUUGCCUGGAGUCGACCCGGCUAAAUGCAGUCUUCGAGCAAUAACUUUUUUUGAUGUCGUUUUAACAUGUUUCAAUAUUUUCAAUAGCAGCACACAACGUUGGGAAAUUUGGAAAUCCAAAAUACGCAAUUCAUUUCACUGACUUUCUAAUGUAAGAUGGUCUGCUAGAAUCUAUGCCGUCAAGCCAUUUGCGAAAUAUCUUCCCGGUUUGAUAAACGCUUUCAAAGAAGUUAAAAAAUUAAACCUUACGGCAGAAAUUCGUCGCGAGUUUGAUGGAAUUUUGAAAUAUAUGAGCAUUCUUUAGUGCGCUUUGAUCGCCUGCAUAUAAUAUAAUCCUUCAGUCAAUCAAUGAAAGAAAUCUGGUUCUUCAAGAGAUCACUGCCAUCAUCGACGUUGAAGUUAGAAAUAUAGAAAGCCUUCUUUUGAUUUUGCGUUGAGGAUUUUAACAUAAAAAAACACGGAAACGAUCUACAGGAAGAAGUGGUUGGAAAUUGUAGAAGAAAUUGAAUUCAAAGGAAGUCGUUCUCAUUUGUAUGACUUGUAUUGAUAUGAAAGAAGAUGAACUCAACGCCGUUGCAAACAAUUUUGCAAAAGAGUAUUCCGUUGAUAGCUUUGAGAAUAUUUUGCACUUUAUCCGUUUCAAAUUUUCAUCGAUCGUGAUCGUCACAGGGCAGGAUUUCAGGACUAGCUACAUUGUACCUAGAGAAGGCUAUAAUCGACGCAUUCGCUGCCGCCAAAGUUCGAAAAGCUCACUUCGAGAAGCAUGGAGAAGAUUGGAGAUUUUAAAUUGCAUGUUCAAAAACUUAAUCACGAUAGCCAACAAAUUUCAAGAGAACCGUUUCUUCACUAAUUAGAUCGAUAAAUAAAUGUUUGAAUGAGAUGUUUAUGUCUUCUUAUUAACUGUCAAGUUUUGCUAUCCCUAUAUUCAUAAAUAUAAUAUAUGCCGGUAUAAUCUGAAAAAAUAUUUUUGAUUGAAAGUCUAUUUAUGUACUGAUUUAUACAUUAUUUAUUUUCAAAAUCGUGCAAAACAAAUUUGUUAUACACAACGUCAACAAGAAAUCAAAUUUAAUACAGUUGUGAUGAGAGGAUGAAACACUACGUCAAAUUUGACUUAUUCUUAAAAAACAGCGAAGUAACGGAAGCCCCCACCUUUCUUCCCCUGGCCUGGUUUUUCUCGCGGUGGCCUUGGUUAUAACCACUUGUGAAUUUCAAGAAAUCGAUUUUUGAUUUUGAAAAUAUGCUAUGACAAUUUUAAGGUAUACCGGCAAAAAAUAACGGAGAGAGGAGCGUAAUUGUAAUAAUUUUUUAACUUAGUGUAGUUAGCUGCUAAAACUUUAAGUGCGUUUUUCUCGAAACUCCGUUUUCAGAGUAAAUUGAAAAAAUUCCUCCGCAACGGCUGGACCUAUCCACUUAAAAUUUUCACACGAUGUUAUUAGUUGUAUUUGUCAGAUAAUGACUGAAUUCAUAAUAUUUUUGAUAACUAUUUUUAUUCCGAAGUGUAUAUUCUGUAAUUGUACUUUUAUUUAUUUAUUUAGUUAUUUAAAAAUAAAUCAAAAACAAAGUAAUUUUUUCCAGUCUUUGACCCGAAGCGUUGUUUUUCGGUUGCAUCGAAAACUCAUAAUCAGGGUAUUUUUAUUUCUAGGAAUUGAAAUUUGACAUUAUUUUUGUCACCGCUCAAAUAUUUUGAACAGCUUCUAUAUAAUAAAAUGAAAGUGCUGAUAAACUUGAUUUCUGUGUGACAAUUUACCUCCACUGAAAAUUAUUCUUAAUCUUUAAAACUCGCCUUCUGACUUCGUUAUGGUUCGUAAUAACUACCGUGGGAAGGCUCUUUCGUGUUCUCUGCUCCAAGAAUAAAACAUUUUUAAUACAGUCAUUGGAUGCACUGUGCCGCGCUUGUGAUCAGCUAAAAGCCUUUUGAGAUAUAAAGCUGCCGUAAUGACUUUUAACUUAUACCAUAUAUCUUUAUAAUUGAAGAGCUUUUUCUAUUUUUUUUUGCCGUUGUUGUUUUCUUCUGUAGAAACAUCCGUUUUGUUGUCUAAUAGCCAUUUCUAGGAUAUUUAGAUAUGAUUCUCAC